Molecule: ribosomal RNA, 253 nt
Filed under: uncultured bacterium
Lineage: Bacteria
Description: partial 16S ribosomal RNA
Rfam family: Bacterial small subunit ribosomal RNA
Source: RNAcentral
UACGUAGGGUCCGAGCGUUGUCCGGAAUUAUUGGGCGUAAAGCGCGCGUAGGCGGCUUUGCAAGUCGGGUGUGAAAUCCCCAGGCUUAACCUGGGAACUGCAUUCGAGACUGCAUUGCUAGAGUUCGGUAGGGGAGACUGGAAUUCCUGGUGUAGCGGUGAAAUGCGCAGAUAUCAGGAGGAACACCGGUGGCGAAGGCGGGUCUCUGGGCCGAUACUGACGCUGAGGAGCGAAAGCGUGGGGAGCGAACAGG